GAGAAAUUCAAAGGGAUUUUAAAAGGUUCCUUCAGAUCUAUUAUCUACUGACUUACAAAAAGAAAAUCUCAAAUGAAUCCAAAUCUGUGUUCUUCUAAAGAGCCUAAAGUUCAAGUGUGCAGUUGAAGCUUAUCUGAAUCUCCCGUCUUCCCUGGCCUGCAUACUUGGGCUUGAAGUCCUGUUGGGAACUCUGUGCUUCUGGGAUUUCUGACAUUUCAACUUUUGGAUUAUAGUCGAACCUACAGUCACACGUACCAUGCAGGUAUCCACUAUCUUCUUACAUGAAUGAUUUCUCACAAGAAGUCUACUGUAAUUCUUAUUCUACUUCCCCUAUAGAUACUUGCCUUAAAAACCAAUGAUGUGGCUUGAUGAAAUCCAGGUAAAAGUUGUGUUCCACCCCACAGUAACAGAUGAGAGUCAGAUGACUGACAUCCUCUGCCAGUCAUUUAAGGAAGAAAGCCUUUGAAAUGACUCUAGACCUACCACUCAUUGACCACAACCACAUGAGAAUCUAAGAACAAGAACAACA
Long non-coding RNA from Herpailurus yagouaroundi (jaguarundi), 529 nucleotides. RefSeq lists it as uncharacterized. The transcript has 3 exons. NCBI's taxonomy places the organism in Eukaryota, Metazoa, Chordata, Mammalia, Carnivora, Felidae. The record is from RefSeq and is a predicted model, not a curated record.